AGUCAGCCCAUCUAAUUAAACUCACCAAGCUCUUCCAUCCCUUAGUCAUAACAGGUAAAUACCCAAACAAGAUUAUUUCUUCAAAGUUAAUUAAUAAAAAGGUUGAAAAAAUAAGAAAAAAGAAUGGACCAUUGGAUGAAAAAAUAGGCAUCACACCAGCUUAUCAAACAACAUAAUUAAGAAUAUAUAUAUCGCAUUGCUAUUGUGGCCACUCAUAAGAAAUGCACCCAAUUGAAUGAUUUGAAUAAAAGCAACUAAAAGUUAGUUUUAAGGACUAAGGUGCACUUGGGAUGACAGCAAAUUGCAUCAAAACUUCCCUUUUAUGGAUUGACUGAGCAAGUCAUGAAUGAGGAAUCUUGGUAAGGUUCUACAUCACAAUAAGACAUUGAGAUUGAAAUUGCUUUGUCAAAAUUUAUCCAUUUAGAUGAUGUUGCAUAAAGUCAUUUGAAACUAUUGUGUAUCUGUUUUGGAAUUUUUAUGACUAAAACAUGUCA
Molecule: unclassified non-coding RNA, 494 nt
Filed under: Hevea brasiliensis (rubber tree)
Lineage: Eukaryota; Viridiplantae; Streptophyta; Magnoliopsida; Malpighiales; Euphorbiaceae
Source: RNAcentral